This 26-nucleotide non-coding RNA is filed under the name Rattus norvegicus (Norway rat). The record is from RNAcentral. Lineage: Eukaryota; Metazoa; Chordata; Mammalia; Rodentia; Muridae.
UCAAAGGCCCCUUUGAACAGCAUUGA